Molecule: long non-coding RNA, 2568 nt
Organism: Sitodiplosis mosellana (orange wheat blossom midge)
Lineage: Eukaryota; Metazoa; Arthropoda; Insecta; Diptera; Cecidomyiidae
Exons: 3
Source: RefSeq, a predicted model, not a curated record
GUUACACAUUAGAAUAUAAAAGACUUCGCUAUAUUGAGGAAGCUAUCAAAUUCGUUGAGUAACUCACUUCAUCAACACUGGUGAAAGAGACAUUUUCGCGGUCGACAUGAAGUGUUUUUAUAAUCCAAUAUUCAUUGCAUUUUGCACUGUCGUUUUGAUGACAGGAUGGGCGAUAGCGAUCGAUCCAUGUGCAAUUGUGCGCUGCGCUGCUGGUACCGUAUGUGUAGCUGACAAAAGUAAAGCAAGAUGCGUGCCAGCACCAUGCAACUCCGAUAAAGAAUGCCCCGAUAAUCAAGCUUGCACUUCGGUGUUAUCGCACAAUGAGAAGAAAAAAACCUGCACUGAUCCAUGUGUAUUAAUUGAUUGCCCUGCUGAUACCAAUUGCAUGGUUACCGCUCAUCAAGCAAAUUGCACAAAAACGCCGAUCAAUCCAUGUGCACUUGUGCUCUGCGUUACUGGUACCGUAUGUGUAGUUGUCAAAGGUAAAGCAAGAUGCGACCCCCAAUAAAGAAUGACCCGAUAAUCAUUUUGGCAUCAAACAGAAUCAGAAUGUGUCACUUUAAUUUUUGUAUGUGUGGAAUAGCUUUGUGGUCUGGGUUUAAAGUCAAAUAAAGAAAGAAAGAAUGGAAGGAACUUGUUUUUAUCUUAUCCUUUUUGUUUGCCUUUUUUGUUCAUUUUCUCCGAAAUAAUUUGUAUAUUUUGACGAUUUUUUUUAGUAAAAUCGACUUUAUUUCGACCGAAACGAUGUUUCUUUUUCAACCAUUUUCAGAACCAAAAUGUCUCAUCAACUGAAGCUAAUUUUGGUCUUGCUUAGAGAAUUAACGCAUUUUAAAUCAAAAUACACAGAGAAAAAAACUGUUUGCACCAAACGAGUAAGAUAAUAGAAAGCAAAAAAAUGUGAGGAAAGGAAAUUUGAUUAGAUUUAGAACAUAUGACAUGAGCUAUGCCCAUAAUAAACAGCCGUUUGUUGUUCUCUACACGAACAAAGUGCUAUGAAAAGAGUUUUCAUUGAAAUAUUGGUUAAAUACUAAGCGGGAGGUAAACCAAAUUGCCGCGGAGCGGAAAAGUUUGGAUUACGUAUGUAAUUCGUUUUAUUUAGAAUUCGUAUCGAGACAAUGAGCGUAAUGUUAUUAAUUCAGACAAUCGUGUACCAUUUGAAGAACAAAAUGUAUCGAUCAAUACACCAUCAACACAAGAGGUUGCCGCAGUUUGCCACUUGCUGGUGGAUAGAUCACUACCUGAUCUCACCAGAUCUCACUGUUUGUAUACAUUGUAAAAUGGAUUGUAUGAGAAAUAUUCAGUCGGUGAAAUGAAUAAUGAUGUAUAAUCAGUAUUCAGUUGCCAUCUCAUGUGUGAAAGGAAUGAGUAUAUUAUUUGUUCAGUUGGUUAAAUGAAAUGACUUUUUUCUUUUCGAAUCGGCCAGCAAUUUUGUGAAGUGUACAUUACAGUCAGAUUCACACGUUAACCCUUAGACUCAAACAAAUUUCAACUGAGGCGUUUGUGAACUCAUGAGUUUUAUAUAAAUGACCAUGUGAAUUUGAAGUAAAUUUGGUUGAAAACGGUUUGGAUGAUUGGAUAUGCAAACGCUGGAUGUGAACUAGUGGACUGUCCUGCUGAUACUGAUUAUAUAGAAUUGGAAGAUGGUGAAGGGAUAUGCGUGCCUACAUGCAAAACAAAUAAAAAUUGUGGCAAAAAUGGAUUUUGCUUGAAAAACAAAAAUGGACUAUAUAAAAGUUGCUAUUAUCCAUGUAUGGAUAUAUUGUGUAUUGCAGAAGCCGAAUGUGUUGUUACCGGUAAAACUGGAUAUUGCAAACUGGACCAUAGUUAUUAUCAUUAGAUAAAGAAUCAAACCGCCAAUCAACAAUAAAACAAUAAUAUACAAUUUAAAACUAGGACUUGAAACCUUGAAAGUGUUAUUUGAAAAUUAUACACAAUAAUUUCUUUCCAAAAAACGUGCGAAGACUUCGUACCAUUUAUGCUUUUUUAAAGUUAACACUAAAUAGUGGAACAGCCAUGCUUAUUUACUUGGUAAUUGCAAUCAAUCAUCUGUGAUCUGUGUCUACUGCUUGAAUACAUCAAAAGCACAAUGGUAUACAUUUUUAGCAGAAUUUUUGAAUUAUUCUUUUUAGCUUAGUAUCAAUACUGCAUUAUCUCUUAAGACAAUUAAAAUACAUGAUUAUUCAAAAAUAUUAAUUUCAGAUCAUUUCUAUGAGAAAACUUCGAAAAUAAUUUUUUAAAUUUAUUUUUUAUGAAUAUGUAUUGUUUUUUGAUUGCAAGCAAAACUGUCAGUAGCAUCAGCUACAUUGUAAAUAAUAAUUUAUAUUUACACACUCUGCUGCGCACAGAUCACGCAUUUUGCGUCAAGAGAGAAGAGAAAAAAGUACUAUAUAUUAAAGACGAAAGCUCAUUCUACGCCCACAGUGUUCAAAAUAACCUGUAAAUUGGUUUCAUCACAAUGCAUUCUAUCUGCGACUGUCAAUUUUAUGUAGGUGUAGAAUUUAUCUUAACGACAGCUAUGUGGUUCGAUUUGGAUGAUGAUCCAAGUCGAAUAAAGAAUCAAGAAACAAU